CCCUUAAAGGGGUCAUAUGAUGCUACAUGCACUUUUACAAGUUGUUUGAACUGAAAUGUGUGUUGGCGGUGUGUACACAACCACACUCAAAUGAUCAAAAUCCACCCAGUGUUUUUUUUUUUUUAGAAAUCUAGUUAAA
This is a long non-coding RNA of Sinocyclocheilus anshuiensis, 139 nucleotides long. RefSeq lists it as uncharacterized. The transcript has 3 exons. Lineage: Eukaryota; Metazoa; Chordata; Actinopteri; Cypriniformes; Cyprinidae. The record is from RefSeq and is a predicted model, not a curated record.